RNAcentral lists this long non-coding RNA (904 nucleotides) under Brassica rapa (field mustard). Its description in RNAcentral is "long non-coding RNA (BRAP_LNC002322)". The record is from RNAcentral. Lineage: Eukaryota; Viridiplantae; Streptophyta; Magnoliopsida; Brassicales; Brassicaceae.
CCGGCCAUCUUUUGGAUAUACACAAAAAGCAGCGAAUCCAGUAAGCGGAAAAGAUAAGGAUCAACCAUCGUAUAAUUGCGGGAUAUCAGCAUGACAGUAGUAGCCGGAGACGAUGGGUUAAGCUGAGACCAUUCGCGCAGUAAAUUUUUGAAGUCGUUCCCACCGCAGGGAGCGUGGAUAAGAACGAAUCCAGAGGAAGCUAUCUCUUCUAAGAGGGCACUAGAGAUGUAUUCUAGGUUGCCCAUGGCAUAGAUGAUGACUUUAGAACGAUGACCCAUCUGCUUGUGCACCGCUGAUUCUAUGCACCCACGCACACGACGAGGGUCAAAACCAUCCGGAACCGGACACGUGUUGAGGUCCCACCAACGAUUAUUAUAUCUCAGCCGCAACGAAUUUGGGAUCGGUUUAGGGUUUCCUGCCAACGAUUAUUAUAUCGACGUUUUUUUUUUUUUUUUUUUUGACGUUCUUUAUCUUUUGUUAAUGUGUUUGACUGUAAAAAUUAGGUAUUAUAAUAUAAUGUAUUUGUUGUGAACAAUUGGGGAAAUCGUGUAUAUUACUUGAAUCAAAGUGUUCCCUUUAUAUAGAGAUUACAAGAUAAGGAUAAAAGGAAAUACUACAAAUCCUAACCUAAAAAGAAAUAGGAAAUAUCUUUAAAGAUAAACAUGAAAGGGAAAAGAAAAACUUCUAAUCCUAUAGUCAGCUACUCUUUGGCCGCCUCUCUCUCCUAUGCGGACGCGGUCUUGGUCUUGGGCCGGACGCGAUCCGUUCUUUCUUUGGCUUGGUUACUAGUAAUCCACAUUAUUCAUAACAUUCCCCCUUGGAUGCUAUAACCAUAUGGGCUUGUAUCAUACACGAUGUUGUCUCGUUAAAACCUCUUUAGGAAAACCAAAAACCCAAGGUGGGA